This 397-nucleotide ribosomal RNA is filed under the name uncultured bacterium. Its description in RNAcentral is "partial 16S ribosomal RNA". It matches the Rfam family "Bacterial small subunit ribosomal RNA", at positions 523 to 918 of the family's 1533-position model. The record is from RNAcentral.
CUACGUAGGGGGCGAGCGUUGUCCGGAAUGAUUGGGCGUAAAGGGCGCGUAGGCGGCCUGUUAAGUCUGGAGUGAAAGUCCUGUUUUCAAGAUGGGAAUUGCUUUGGAUACUGAUGGGCUUGAGUGCAGGAGAGGUUAUCGGAAUUCCCGGUGUAGCGGUGAAAUGCGUAGAGAUCGGGAGGAACACCAGUGGCGAAGGCGGGUAACUGGACUGCAACUGACGCUGAGGCGCGAAAGUGUGGGGAGCAAACAGGAUUAGAUACCCUGGUAGUCCACACUGUAAACGAUGAAUGCUAGGUGUAAGAGGUAUCGACCCCUUUUGUGCCGGAGUUAACACAAUAAGCAUUCCGCCUGGGGAGUACGGCCGCAAGGUUGAAACUCAAAUGAAUUGGCGGGG